Molecule: long non-coding RNA, 4371 nt
Filed under: Homo sapiens (human)
Lineage: Eukaryota; Metazoa; Chordata; Mammalia; Primates; Hominidae
Description: non-protein coding PTOV1-AS2:1
Source: RNAcentral
GUCGCCCAGGCUGGAGUACAAUGGCAUGAUCUCAGCUCACUGCAACCUCUGCCUCCCGGGUUCAAGCCAUUCUUGUGACUCAGCCUCCUGAGUGGCCAUCAUGCCUGGCUAAUUUUUGUAUUUUUAGUAGAGACGGGGUUUCACCAUGUUGGCCAGGCUGGUCUCAAACUCCUGACCUCAGGUGAUCCACCCGCCUCGGCCUCCCAAAGUGCUGGGAUUGCAGGCGUGAGCCACCGCACCCGGCCCCUGAGGGAAUGCUUGAAAUUGCUUUCAUGUAAAAGCACCUACACCCAGGCCCCCCCCACCCACGAACAGCUUCGUGGACAGUUUACUCAGACUGAGUCGAAGGUAAUUUUAAGGUAGUUUCGGGAUAUUACCCAAGUAUGGCCCAGCUGGAAGGUGGACAUCGGGGGGAGGGCUCAGAAACACCAAAGUCCAACCUUCUCCACCUCACAGAUGGAGAAACUGAGCCCGAGAGAGAGAAGAGGAGUCAGCUGAGCCUCCCCCAGAUAAGACAAUCGCCAAAUAUUCUGGGACCUUGCUGGGGGCAGACAGCCCUCCCUGCCCAGCAAUGGGCCUUUGGGAUGUGGCACAAGCUCCCGGGAAACCAGGAGUGACAAGGGCGCCUGUCCCUGAGGAGUGGAGAGCGCGGAGUUGGUGCUGAGUCAGCCCUGAUGUGGCAGAGGAGGAGCAGGCCCCCGCAGAACCAGGGCUCUUCAGUGUCUCCAGGUCCUUGGUGAAGUGGAACUGGACCAGGCGCGAGUUCCGGAACAGCGGCACUAGGGUGGUCUGCGGGGAAGCGAGGGGACCCCCAGCUCUGGCUUCUCCCACCACGGCCUCCCGGCUCCCAGCCCGCUGAGUCCCCCGGGCCCAGGACCAAACUGAGACUCCCCUGUCCUCCCUACCUCAGGAAACGUCAUCUCCACCGCUCAACCAGCCCAACCCUGGAGUGCUGUGGAAGCCGCUCUCAGAUCCCUUGGCAGCCCCCCAGGUGCAGGUCGUGGCUGCCCCUGCCCCGCUCAGUCCCUGCACAGCCACCAGCUGGCUGCCUGGGACCCCUUGAAGCCAAGCCUGAGGAGCUACCCACCACACCUGCUUCAGCACCCUCAGCUCCGCUCCCUCACAGCCAGCUCAGGCCACCUGGGGAGGCGCUCUUGCCCCCAGCCCCGCCCUCUGGAAGAGCUACUGCGUGCAGGCUCCAGCACCCGGCCCCAGCCCCUCACCAGCAGCUGCUGCGGGAUGAGCUGCAUGUACAGCUUCCUUGGCCACUGCUCGGUCCUCCUGUGGGGCACAAAGGGACGAGGGUCAGGAAGCCCCAGCUCCCCUGGAUGCUGCCUCCACCCCCCAGCCCAGCACUCACAGGAUCUCCCCCUGGUUCACGUAGACGUGGGAUGGCAGCCACCUCUUGGACCGACUGUUGGGCUCAGGCCUGGGCUUUUGGGGGAGAGGCAAAGAGGAGCCCUCAGGGCUGGAGACCCCCAAUGCCAGUGUCCCCUCCCAGCCACAGUCCGUGAGGAUCUGGGGGUCCCAAGUCCCUGGGCUGCCGAGUGCUCACCUCCUGCCACUCCAUGACACCACUCCAUGCCAGAAACUUGUUGUUGACGAUCUGGACUGGGCCUGAGUUGACACCACCAGGUCCCACUGCCUGUUGGAAGGGAACGGGGUGGGAAGAGGGGCCCAGGCUCCUGGGAAACCUGUCUGUCUGUCCUGGGGCCUGCCAUCCCUCCCUCCGAGCCUUGGCCUGUUAGCCCCAGCUGGGUCCAUUCUCUAGUCCCAGGGGAACAGGCCCUGCCCCUCAUCUGCUCACAGCCCCCCAUGGCUCCCCAGUGGCCUGAGACAGGUCCCGGCCCUCACCUGGUGCACAGGACCUGCAGAGUCUGCCUCAACUGGCAAGGCAUGACCAGGACACGUGGUUACCAGGCAGGGCCUUCCAGCCGCAGGACGAUCCCAACCCCUGCCCAGCUCCCCGCUCCGCUGGCUUCCCUGCCGCCGCGCCAAGACCCACCCUCCAGCCCUGCAGAGCCGCCCAGUGGCCGCUUUUCCAUGGAGCCCUGGUGGGAACCCGCCCGGCAUCCUCCGGGCUCCCCUGCAGCUCCUUGCUCCAGCCAUCGCAUCACACUCCGCCCACACCAAGUCUGGCUGCCCAACCAGGGCAGUGGGGUCUAAUCCCCCUCUGUCCCCAGAGGGGCUGUGCUUGGCUGGCACACCUGCUUGCGGGUGGUGAUGACCUGCCGGAUGGCACUGACGAAGCCGCUCUGGUCGUAGGGGAUGAGGCCCAUGAAGAUCUUCUUCUUGGACGAGUACAGGAGCAUGAGCACGCGCACCUCACAGGGGGAGAUGUGGGGGAACAGCAUGCAGCCCGCCUGCGGGGGCCGCGGGUCAGGACCCUGUGGUCACUGCCCGGGGCCACUGUGCCCCCACCACCCUGGACCGCCCCACCUGUAGGGGAUGAAGGGAGAUCAUCGGUGGACAGAGGCCCCCACAGUCAAGGCCAUGGCCAUAGGUGAGGGGCCUCUGAGAGCCCGUGCAGCGCCCAUCGGCAUCCCCCGACCCUGCCAUGGCUGAGGUCAGAGUGGCACCCGGCACCCAGGCUGCGGUGAGAAUGCCAAGAAGGCACUACCUCCCACCCACAUCACCCCCUGCCGCCAGCCCUCCUGACUGCCUGAUGGGGUGACUUGGCCUGGGGGUUAAGAGCACAGGCAGCGCCCCACCGUUCUGCUGCCUCCUAGCUGUGUGACCUAACACCAGCCACCUCCUGCUUCUGGGCCUCCAUCAUCUGUAAAACCGGGUAAUAGUGCACACAGUUGGUGCCACAUAAAGGCUCAACAGAUAAAGUGCUGGUGCCUCUUGAGGAUGGCGCAUGGGAGAACUAAGCCUGACAGAUGUGCCUGGCUGUGGUGUCUAGAUGAAGUGGUGUGACCGUCCCAAAACCCCAUGUCCCCUCCCCACACCGGGCCACCCCCACAGUGCUGUCCCCUCCACGCUGCCGGCCUAACUUCUCAACCUUGGUGUCCAGCCCAGGGAUCACCCGCUCAGGGCCCUGUCCCUGGCCUCCCUGGAGCCAUGCACAGUCAGCCUCCCAGGGCCAUGCCUGGGGGGUGAGUAUGGAUGUCCACUUUCCCUACAGACUGGGUACUCGGGGCCCAGAUAUGGCAGGCCCUCAACAAACGGUGCUGGGUGAAGGGGGAACGGGUCACUUAAGAGACCUCAUGCCAGGCACAAGCCCUGGUCUGCCCCUGGUCUCCUGAGGGAGAAGGGAGGCCCUAGCGGAACCCAGGGCGCUCAACGGCAGCUGGGACGGGUAGAGGCAGACUGUCCCAACAGGGAACAGGGACUGGGAAUGUCCCAGAGCCAGGUCCUCUGGGCAGACAACUCGCUCCCACCCCACCCCUGCCUCCUCUCCAGCACCUGCCAUCUUUCACAGCCCAAGCCCCCUUUCUGACCUGCCCUGCGCCAGAAUCUCAGUCACCUGAACAGCCUCACCAGCUGGGUUCACCCAGCACUCACUAGGUACUAAAGUCACCAUCUCAAGCGCUUUACACAAAUUCCCUCCCUCCAGCCUCCCGGUGGCCCUAGGAAGCACGGCUCCCCUGUCCUCCCUACCUCAGAAAAUGUCAUCUCUACCCCUCAACCAGCCCAACCCUGGAGUGCUGCGGAAGCCGCUCUCAGAUCCCUUGGCAGCCCCCCGGGUCCAGGUCAUGGCCGCGCCUGCCCCACUCAGUCCCUGCACAGCCACUGGCUGGAUACCUGGGUCCCCUUGGAGCCAGGCCUGAGGACCUACUCACCGCGCCUGCUUCAGCACCCUCAGCUCUGCUCCCUCACGGCCAGCUCAGGCCACUCGGGGAGGUUAGCCCAUUUUACAGACCAGAAUACCAAGCCCCAACGUGCCACUCCCUCCUGGCUGGCUCUUGUGCCUAGCACACCCAUUUACCAGGUCCCUGCCAUACGCUAUGUGUCCCCGACAGGCUCCUGGGCCCCAACAGGGCUGGCCCCAGUCCCUCCCUGCACUCACGCCCCCAGGGCCACCUCGAAGCUGGGCACAGAUGCAGAAACUGGAGGCCUCUCAGGCUGAGUUCCUUCACCCUGUGCUCUACGGAGGGUGCCUGGAGUCAGUCAUUUCCAGAUGGGGUCCGAGAGGCCACGAGGGCUACCCUCGGCCCCAGGGGAGACCCCCCGACCCCCGCCUGGACUGUGUGAGCAGAGCGCUGCCUCCAGCUGUACUUGUCACCACAGUGCUACAAGGGAGCCCGCCCCACUCACGAAGCCGUUGCCCAUGAUGCGGCAGAGCCCCUUGAGCGAGUCGCAGUCUCUGUUGGUGAAGUGGAACUGUGCCAACUGGGAGUUCCGGAACAGGGGGCCCAGGGUGGUCUG